Molecule: ribosomal RNA, 490 nt
Filed under: uncultured bacterium
Lineage: Bacteria
Description: partial 16S ribosomal RNA
Rfam family: Bacterial small subunit ribosomal RNA
Source: RNAcentral
AUUGAACGCUGGCGGCAGGCCUAACACAUGCAAGUCGAACGGUAACAGGAAGAAGCUUGCUUCUUUGCUGACGAGUGGCGGACGGGUGAGUAAUGUCUGGGAAACUGCCUGAUGGAGGGGGAUAACUACUGGAAACGGUAGCUAAUACCGCAUAACGUCGCAAGACCAAAGAGGGGGGCCUUCGGGCCUCUUGCCAUCGGAUGUGCCCAGAUGGGAUUAGCUAGUAGGUGGGGUUACGGCUCACCUAGGCGACGAUCCCUAGCUGGUCUGAGAGGAUGACCCGCCCCCACUGGACCUGGGACACGUUCCGGCCUCCAAGGGGGGGCGGCAUUGGGAAAUAUGGCCCAUGGGGCGCAAGCCUGAUGCAGCCAGGCCGCGUGUAUGAAGAAGGCCUUCGGGUUGUAAAGUACUUUCAGCGGGGAGGAAGGGAGUAAAGUUAAUACCUUUCCUCAUUGACUUAACCCGCAGAAGAAGCACCGGCUACCCCCUU